CAACUCUGGUUUCUCUUCAGGUCACAUAAGUCUUUCACCUUUUACUAAAGAUUUCCGUGGAGAGGAACAAUUCUGAGCCAUAAACUAAUUUUUUGAGGCCUUGCUUUGGUGAGGCU
Small nuclear RNA from Otolemur garnettii (small-eared galago), 116 nucleotides. Its record names the gene U5. It matches the Rfam family "U5 spliceosomal RNA". Rfam says of the family: U5 RNA is a component of both types of known spliceosome. The record is from Ensembl. NCBI's taxonomy places the organism in Eukaryota, Metazoa, Chordata, Mammalia, Primates, Galagidae.